This 244-nucleotide ribosomal RNA is filed under the name uncultured bacterium. RNAcentral's name for it is "partial 16S ribosomal RNA". It matches the Rfam family "Bacterial small subunit ribosomal RNA", at positions 524 to 766 of the family's 1533-position model. The record is from RNAcentral.
UACAGAGGGGGCAAGCGUUGUUCGGAAUUACUGGGCGUAAAGCGCACGUAGGCGGAUAGUUUAGUCAGAGGUGAAAGCCCAGGGCUCAACCUUGGAAUUGCCUUUGAUACUGGCUAUCUUGAGUACGGAAGAGGUAUGUGGAACUCCGAGUGUAGAGGUGAAAUUCAUAGAUAUUCGGAAGAACACCAGUGGCGAAGGCGACAUACUGGUCCGUUACUGACGCUGACGGCUCGAAAGCGAUGGG